GGUCGACUGGCCCAGUGGUUAAGGCACCCGCGUCAGUAUACCUUUCAGCGCUAUAUUAGCCAUAAUAGAUUAUUAACAACCUCUUAGUUUACAGAUUCACUCCUGAAAUCGCGGGGGAUCGCAGGUUCGAUCCCUGCGUCGACCA
Molecule: non-coding RNA, 145 nt
Organism: Aspergillus wentii DTO 134E9
Lineage: Eukaryota; Fungi; Ascomycota; Eurotiomycetes; Eurotiales; Aspergillaceae
Source: the annotation of a RefSeq genome assembly